AAGGAAAGGGCAAGAGCAAGGGCAAGGGAAAAGAAAAGAGACGAGGCAAGGAUGAUUCCAAC
RNAcentral lists this non-coding RNA (62 nucleotides) under Stauroneis constricta. Lineage: Eukaryota; Bacillariophyta; Bacillariophyceae; Naviculales; Stauroneidaceae. The record is from RNAcentral.